AAGGUUGAUGAUGAAGAACUAAUCUCCUACAUCGUCGUUGGCCUCGACGAAGACUUCGAACCAGUGGUGUCUUCCUUGGUAGGCCGCGCCGAACCGAUCACGGUCGGUGAGGCCUACUCCCAGUUACCUAGCUUUGAGC
RNAcentral lists this small nucleolar RNA (139 nucleotides) under Leersia perrieri. RNAcentral's name for it is "snoRNA snoZ247". It matches the Rfam family "Small nucleolar RNA Z247". From Rfam's summary of the family: Z247 is a member of the C/D class of snoRNA which contain the C (UGAUGA) and D (CUGA) box motifs. Lineage: Eukaryota; Viridiplantae; Streptophyta; Magnoliopsida; Poales; Poaceae. The record is from Rfam by way of RNAcentral.